AUUAACUGAUGUGUGUCAUCCAAGCAUGUCAGUACCAGUUUUUUGUAGUGUUCCCAUCAAAUUUUCUUCACAAGAAUGUGAAGUCAUACAAAGAAGAUUUUCUGAGAUGCUGGCAGCACUCUGGUUCCUGCUGUGCCUCUGUUUUCCCCUGAGCUCGGGGGUUGUAUCUGCAGUAUUGUGAUUUUCUCUUGGCCAUUACUGCUUACAUGUGAGAGCAUGUACUGCUUUUACAGCUUGAACAGUAUGAGCUGUGAAUCACCUGCCCACUUGGUAGUGCUGCCGUCAGUUUGCCCGGGAUGGCAGUGACUAUACUGUUCUUUCAUGUCACAUCUUGUUCAGGCAGGAUGAGCUCUCUGCAGCAAAGCUGAGACACUCUUCUGCAAGCAGAUCUUUCGGUGUUUCGUGUGCCACAUUUGCCAGCUCACCUGUAACCACUUGCCAUAAAAGCAGCACUGCAUGAGGCAGCAGGUUCUCUAACAGCCCCAAUACCACAUCACAUUUGUCACCAAGAAAAGGGAUUGAAGCCUCUUUCCUGCAUUCCAGCUUAAUGCACAAUGUUGAAAGAUUAAUGUUACGUAUUGUAAGUAUCUAUUUUUCAAACGUUCACAAAUUCAAGAAUUUCUCAGACUUUGGAGAAAUGGUGCAUGUUGCACUGAUGCUGUUUUUUUCUAAAUCAUUGGGCAUCUUGACUGAAGGUAAAUCCAGGUUUUACAGUGUUUCUUCUAAAUGUAUAAAAGUACUGAUGUAACAUGGUCACAGCAUUUGCAUGACAGAAGGAGUCUAACAAUAAGCACCCGAGACAGGGCAGUCAGGAGAAAGGGUCUGUCCUUCCCCUGCUGCCCAGGGGUGCCUGAUCAAUGCCCUUCACAAGGGGAACACCAACUGCAUCUUUUUUUGGUAGAUGAGUAUUUUCCAUCACAUAGAACUGGAACUGCUGGGCUAUCUUCUCUUCCUAGGUUGUCUGAUUUAUAUGUUCAAUGGCAGCUAUUAGAAGGCUACAGUAAAACACAAAAUAAUAUAGGCUUUAAUCCUCCUGCAAGAGGAUGUUUGGCUCUACAAGAAGCUGAAUGAGCCCAGACACCAUUUACUUCCAUCCUUUUGAUCUGAAGGAUGCUGCUUGUUAGUGAAGGCAGCUGAUUCUAAUCACAGUGGAGGGCUCUCAUUUGCUAUUUCACACUCACACUCUUCCUCCAAAAAGGAGAAGAGGGUGGAAAUACUGGGAGUGUAGAGCCAUAAAGUGCUUACUGGGCUGCAGUAUCUGUGAGAGUCACUUGUCAGCACAGUCUCUUUUUAGAGAAAUCAUGAUCUUGUUCCUGUCACCCAGAGGAAGCAUUUUCAAUAUAUUAUUUGUGGAGGAGUGAGUUUUUGUAAAGCUGUAUUUUCAUGUGGUUCUUCUACCUACUGUUGUCUAAACACAUGGGAUUGUCUCUCAUCUCUGCAUCAGAAAAUACUACAUUUUCCUGCCAAGAACAUGAAAAUAUGGAGACUGAAAGUCAUCUGACACAAUCUAGCAUCUACUUCCCAUUUGUCUUUCACUCAAGGCAAUGCAUAUACUAUAUUAUAAGAUAACACAGUUUUCAGGAGGGCUAAUAUCUCUACCUCUAACUCUGAAUAAAAAUUACAUUGGGAAUAGUCCAUGGCAACUUUUGUAAUGAGGAGUGAAUUUUUGGAGUAGAAAUAAUUUUAAUUACAUUUGGUUUUCUCCAGAGACUCACAUUGUCCUGUCUUUGAAUUAAUCUAAUCUAUUUUGCAUCAUAGGGCUCUGAAUAUAUUUUGCUAUGUUAUUAAGUCCAUUAUUUAGUUUAAUACUGCAGAAACUAUGAGCUGCAUUUCCUGCAGAAGCUAAUAAAGUGCAGAAGCAGGCAAGUAUUGCAAAGUUGCUUCCACGGAGUCCUCUGUAAAUCUCCGCCUUUAGGCUUUUGGAUUUACAUGAAAAUGGGAUUGGCAGAGCAUAUUACCUCCUGCUGAUAAAAAUAGUGUAAGAUUCAGAGAAACUAUGCUCCUGACUUAUCCAGCAAAAACCUUCAUGCACUCUUCGGGAAACACAAAGUUCUCCUCCUUCUCCUGUGGGCAGAAGACCACCUAUUCUAUAAAAUAGAUGUUUGUAAAACGCAAUCAUUUGUUAACUGGAACAAAUAUUUGGGAGUAUAAAAUACGAUAGGAGGGCAAAGAUACUGAAUUUUGUCAGCUGGUUGGUCCUGAAAUACUGCCAACAGCUAUUAACAAUUUCUAAGAUAAGUAGGACUGGGACAUCUGUGCUCUCAAUUGUCCAUUUCAAUAAUAAUAACAUGAGCAUCAUGAACAGUUUUGUUAACCUUUCUGUUAUUGUUUUUCUCACUAAUCAUAUCAGAAAUAUCUGCAUCAACAUAGCCUACAGUAGUAAUUAAAGCUGUGCAGAGAUGUGGUGUGCAGCUAGCCUCAAUGGUACCCAUCUCACCACACCCAUAUGGCUGUGGGUUUCAUGCUAAGAGCAUUGAUGAUUAUAGGUCUGGGGCCAAAGAACAACUGGAGUCUAUAUCUGAAAAUGCAGAAUGGAAAGUGCCUAGUGUGGCAAGCUGUCCUGGUCUCAGCUGGGACAGAUAUCAUUUUUUGUAGUAGUUGGUACAGGGCCGUUUUGGAUUCAGUGGGAGAAUGUGGAUAACACACUGAUGUUUUGGUUGUUGCUAAGCUGUGCUUACCUGAGUCAAGGACUUUUCAGUGUGUCAUGCUCUGCCUGUGAGGAGCUGCAGCAGAAGCUGGGAGGGAGCAUGGCCUGAACUGCUGACCCAAACUGGCCAAAGGGAUAAUCCCUAUUGCAAAAUGUUCUCAGUUCUGUUUUGUCCAGUUGGGAAAACCAUGCAACAGCUGGUAAUUUGUGACAUUCCUAAUCUGCAUCAGGCUGUAGCCUAAAGUGUAUAAAGUGGGGGAAUUACCUGGAAGGGGCCAAUUGCUGCAGGGGGACAGGCUGGGCAUCAGGUGCGAUAAGGAGUGAGCAACCAUCUUGUGCUUCACUUACAUUUCUUGGGGUUCCUCUCCCUGUCUCCUUUUCUUUUUAAUCACAAUUAUUAUUAGUAGUAUUGUCAUUACUACUGGUAUUAUUAUUAUCAUCAUCAUCAUUAUUAUUAUUAUAUUUUACUUUGUUUCAGUUGUAAUCAGUGACACAGGGUCUACAUGGAGGCCUCUCACUAGUGGUUUCCCCCAAAGUUCAAUACUUGGCCUAGUAUCCUUUAACUUACUUAUCAAUGACUUU
Long non-coding RNA from Passer domesticus (house sparrow), 3229 nucleotides. RefSeq lists it as uncharacterized. The record is from RefSeq and is a predicted model, not a curated record. The transcript is spliced from 3 exons. NCBI's taxonomy places the organism in Eukaryota, Metazoa, Chordata, Aves, Passeriformes, Passeridae.